UGGGGAAUAUUGGACAAUGGGGGCAACCCUGAUCCAGCAAUGCCGCGUGUGUGAAGAAGGUCUUCGGAUUGUAAAGCACUUUCGACGGGGACGAUGAUGACGGUACCCGUAGAAGAAGCCCCGGCUAACUUCGUGCCAGCAGCCGCGGUAAUACGAAGGGGGCUAGCGUUGCUCGGAAUGACUGGGCGUAAAGGGCGUGUAGGCGGUUUACACAGUCAGAUGUGAAAUCCCCGGGCUUAACCUGGGAGCUGCAUUUGAUACGUGUAGACUAGAGUGUGAGAGAGGGUUGUGGAAUUCCCAGUGUAGAGGUGAAAUUCGUAGAUAUUGGGAAGAACACCGGUGGCGAAGGCGGCAACCUGGCUCAUGACUGACGCUGAGGCGCGAAAGCGUGGGGAGCAAACAGGAUUAGAUACCCUGGUAGUCCACGCCUGU
Molecule: ribosomal RNA, 432 nt
Filed under: uncultured bacterium
Lineage: Bacteria
Description: partial 16S ribosomal RNA
Rfam family: Bacterial small subunit ribosomal RNA
Source: RNAcentral